This 301-nucleotide ribosomal RNA is filed under the name uncultured bacterium. RNAcentral's name for it is "bacterial SSU rRNA". It matches the Rfam family "Bacterial small subunit ribosomal RNA", at positions 334 to 633 of the family's 1533-position model. The record is from RNAcentral.
GUGCCCUACGGGAGGCAGCAGUGAGGAAUAUUGGUCAAUGGGCGGGAGCCUGAACCAGCCAAGCCGCGUGAGGGAAGAAGGUACAGCGUAUCGUAAACCUCUUUUGUCAGGGAACAAAGGCGGGGACUAGUCCCCGGAUGAGGGUACCUGAAGAAAAAGCAUCGGCUAACUCCGUGCCAGCAGCCGCGGUAAUACGGAUGAGGCGAGCGUUAUCCGGAUUUAUUGGGUUUAAAGGGUGCGCAGGCGGCCUGUUAAGUCAGCGGUAAAAGCCCGGGGCUCAACCCCGCCGAGCCGAUGAUAC